This 1189-nucleotide long non-coding RNA is filed under the name Triticum aestivum (bread wheat). RNAcentral describes it as "long non-coding RNA (TAES_LNC022754)". The record is from RNAcentral. Lineage: Eukaryota; Viridiplantae; Streptophyta; Magnoliopsida; Poales; Poaceae.
UCCGGCGUUCCUCUCCACCGUCGACGGUAUUAUCAUCAAUAAGACCCCUAUCCUCCUGCAUGAACUUCUGAAUUUCUGGGGUUAGGGUUAUUAGUUUUUGGGAGCGGUGCUGGGAAAGAGGAAGAAGACCAAGAAAGGAAAGGAAAGGAAAGGAAAAUGAGAAGCUCGGGUGAUGGAGGUAAUGCUGGAGAAGGGCUACUGGUGGUGGGAUCAAUUCUAGGAGGAGGUGGAGAUCAUAGCGGAGGAUUCGAAGGCCGUGUGAAUGACAUAGAAGAAGAGGAGGAGCUCAAGGCUGCGGAGAAAAAGGACAACAGUAGAGUAUCAGACUUGGAUCUAGCUGAGAUCAACUUUUGUUUUCACGGGACAUGUGAAUCCUCUCUCUGAUUUGGUUUUGUCUAAAUUUCACGAAUUUUAAUCCUGAAGUAAAAAAUGAUGGUUCUGACUCGAUUGAAUGUUAGUAGUGAUGUACAUAAAGAAUCAGCCUGUACCUAGCUGACAAUGCUAAUUCUCUGUAAAUUUGUGUUAAUCAAAAUUUGCACAUACAUACGAGCAAUAUUUCUUCAAUUAAAUAAUAUUCACUUUACGACAAUUUUUGUUUUAUGCUAUUCUUAAGAUAAGAUUUGUAUCGGUGAUGAUAGCUUUAUGUUUUGUCAAUUUAUCAGGCAAACCAAUAAUUGAAAUUCUGCCAAGAAAUCUAGGAGCAGAAGAUGUAUGCUUUAGGUGUACGUGAAUCUUUAAGCCGUUCCUUUCUAGGACAAUUUCUAAGACUGUUUUUCUUUUACCCAAAGGUUUUCAAGCUUUGGGUGCCUGCGGCCGGCUCGACGGGUGGCAUCAGCAAGCGCCGGCCUCGGCACUGCUGCGGGUGGUUAUAUGGUGGGCGGAGCACACUAGUGGGCUUCAACGUCAGGGUACGGUGGCGAGCUAAAUCCUGAGUCCUGCUAGGCUUUUUUUGGUUCAGGUUUUGUUAUUGUUUUCAUUCGGGGUUAUGUGGCGAGCAAACCUAGCAUUUGCAGUUGUUUGUUUCAGAAUUUCAUGUCCUGACAUCAAAUUUCGAUACAUAAUGUAAAUCCUGCCAACAAAUCUAUGUUAUGGGCUUACUAGUUCUCUUCAUAUCUCUAUGCUGAUUUUGUGUGCAAUUUCAAUGAAUACUUUCUAUUUUAUUCAGGGAUACGUUCAGCAUGCUUGUGAG